UAAGCCUGUAGGGACAUAGGGGUAAAAAUUCAGACUGAACUUAGGAGGCAUUUACCCUAAACUGACCAAACAGCCCUCUUCCUGCUCACUCUCCCAUCCCUCCAAAAUAAUGGAGUAAGCCUUUAAAUAUGCUGUCUCAUUUGACAUCACAAAUAACUUGUGAAAUAGGCACUAUAUUAUAGAUUAGGAAACUGAGGCCCAGGGAGUGAGCUAAAGUAAUUUCCCCAAAGUCCCAGAGCUAGCAAAUGGCAGAACUAGAAAUGAAACUCAGUUUUAUCAGACUCUAGUCCCUAUUAUCCUUUAUUCACCUUUCUUCACUAUACUAUCCUGUCUCUCCAAAAUGAGCCCAAAUCACCUAAUUCAUGAAAUUUAAGGAGUUCUCAUCACAUGACCAUCUUAGAAAACAACAUUUUGGAACUGAAAAUGCCCAUGAAUGUAAAGAUCAUGUAGUACAAUUCCAGCAUUUUAAACAUGGGAAACUGCAUCCCACCACGGGGCACUGAGAAGGAUGUGUGACUUUGCAGCCUGACACCUAUAAAAGGCUGUUGACUUUUAUGGCUCUGGAAAUUCUAGCCAUAAAUUCAGUGCUCCUGCGUUCUUAUCUUGGCGCUGACAGUGGUUUGCUAUGUGGUUUUAGAUGUGUCCCUAACACCCUCUGGGUCUCAAUCUUUCUAUCUGUAAUGUAUACAGCAUAAUAAAAUAUGUGGAUAUAAUGAAAAAUCUGCAUUUAUCAUCUUUAGUCAACAGGCUAAGAUUAGUGAAAUCCAUAUCAAUUAAUGGAAUUUGUUCUUACCUUUGGACCAGUCAUCAGGAAAUUGUUCACCGACCUAUAAGGGAAAAAAAAAACAAAAACAGAAUAUAAUGCAGAGACACCAACUUGUUUCUGCUUCCAAGAGUGACAGGAAAUCUGAGACUCCAGAAAAGUUAAACGUGUGUUCAGGCUCACCCAGCUAAUAAGUGAGUGAAGCAGGAUUUGAAUCCACAUUCAUCUGACUCCGUGGGACGUUAGAAGGAUACUUCUCUAAUUAGGAAGAGAAACAGAGACUGAAACAUAGAGUGGCCACCCAGCCUCACACAGCUAGACACUUGAAUUUGGACAGACAAGCAACCCAGCCACCUUUCAGUGUGGCUGUGUCAGUAUCGGAAUGAAAUGAACAUGACCCCCUCCAGCAGGGAAGGGAACACACAGUAAAGAUGGUCAAAAUGAGAGCUGAUGAAGAGAGAGACUGAGCUCAUAUCUGAACUGGAGAGAAACUCCGAACACCCUAGCAACCUGCAUUCUGUAUGUUAUUGUGUACUGGUGUAUUUGCUAAUGAACAGUUGCAUGUAUAGAUAGUUUAUGUGGUUUCCAAGAGCUAAAUGAGAAUGGUGAUGAUAUUCUUUAGCAUUUGUGUUUAUAAUUUACAAAGCACUUUCAUAUACGUUAUCUGAUUUUCUGAACAAUUUAGAAAUAUUUGUAAAUUGAACAAAUUAAAUAAAUUUCUCGAGACGUUUAGA
Molecule: long non-coding RNA, 1497 nt
Filed under: Homo sapiens (human)
Lineage: Eukaryota; Metazoa; Chordata; Mammalia; Primates; Hominidae
Description: HSALNT0359606
Source: RNAcentral